This 81-nucleotide small nucleolar RNA is filed under the name Phaeosphaeriaceae sp. SRC1lsM3a. RNAcentral's name for it is "Stagonospora sp. SRC1lsM3a Small nucleolar RNA R38". It matches the Rfam family "Small nucleolar RNA R38". From Rfam's summary of the family: snoR38 is a C/D box small nucleolar RNA conserved across yeast, human, Arabidopsis and rice. It is encoded in the intron of elongation factor-1 gamma in both pombe and cerevisiae. snoR38 guides the methylation of 2'-O-ribose sites in 28S rRNA. Lineage: Eukaryota; Fungi; Ascomycota; Dothideomycetes; Pleosporales; Phaeosphaeriaceae. The record is from Rfam by way of RNAcentral.
GCGUAAUGGGAUGAGGCAUAUUAUCAUUCAGUUAUCCCUGUCUGAAAACUAUUGUUGAGAAUCUUUCACUCUGAUUUACUA